This 506-nucleotide ribosomal RNA is filed under the name uncultured bacterium. RNAcentral describes it as "bacterial SSU rRNA". It matches the Rfam family "Bacterial small subunit ribosomal RNA", at positions 791 to 1297 of the family's 1533-position model. The record is from RNAcentral.
UAGUCUAAGCUGUAAACGAUGAAUACUAUCUAUGGAGUGUCCUAAGAUGCUCUGUGGAGAAGCUAACGCAUUAAGUAUUCCGCCUGGGGAGUACGGUCGCAAGACUAAAACUCAAAGGAAUUGACGGGGACCUGCACAAGCGGUGGAGCAUGUGGUUUAAUUCGAUAAUCCGCGAGGAACCUUACCUACUCUUGACAUCCUAAGAAGGGAGAAGAGAUUCUCCUGUGCCUUCGGGAACUUAGUGACAGGUGUUGCAUGGUUGUCGUCAGAUCGUGUUGUGAAAUGUUGGGUUAAGUCCCUUAACGAUCGCAACCCUCAUCUUUAGUUGCCAUCAUUAAGUUGGGAACUCUAAAGAAACUGCCGUCGCAAGACGGAGGAAGGAGAGGACAAAGUCAAAUCAUUAUGACCCUUAUGAGUAGGGCUACUUCAUGUGCUACAAUGGGCAAUACAAAGGGUUGUCAAAGCGCGAGCUGGAACUAAUCCCUAAAAGUUGUUCUCAGUCCGGA